Molecule: ribosomal RNA, 345 nt
Filed under: Demodex caprae
Lineage: Eukaryota; Metazoa; Arthropoda; Arachnida; Trombidiformes; Demodicidae
Description: SSU rRNA
Rfam family: Eukaryotic small subunit ribosomal RNA
Source: RNAcentral
GCGUAUAUUAAAGUUGCUGCGUUUAAAAAGCUCGUAGUUGUAUCUCAGUUCAUGUCAAUUGGUCAAUCACUUAUUAGUGAUUACUUUUUGACUGAACAUUGAACCGAUUUGUUUUCUGAUGCUCUUUACCGAGUGUUAUUAACGAUCGGGAUCUUUACUUUGAAAAAAUUAAAGUGCUCAAAGCAGGCAUUUCGCCUAAAUAUUCUUGCAUGGAAUAAUGGGAUAAGAUCUAGGUUCUAUUCUGUUGGUCUUUUGAACCUCAGUUAAUGAUUAAAAGGGACAGACGGGGGCAUUCGUAUUGCGGCGCUAGAGGUGAAAUUCUUGGACCGUCGCAAGACGAACUAC